Non-coding RNA from Penicillium oxalicum, 90 nucleotides. The record is from the annotation of a RefSeq genome assembly. NCBI's taxonomy places the organism in Eukaryota, Fungi, Ascomycota, Eurotiomycetes, Eurotiales, Aspergillaceae.
GCCCGGGUGGUCUAGUGGUAUGAUUCGCGCUUAGGGUAACACCCCAAGCACAAAUGCGCGAGGUCCCCGGUUCGAUCCCGGGCUCGGGCC